AUACGUAGGGAGCGAGCGUUGUCCGGAAUUACUGGGCGUAAAGGGCGCGUAGGCGGCGCUUCAAGUCGUCUGUCAAAUGGAAGGGCUUAACCCUUUUUCGCAGACGAAACUGGAGAGCUUGAGAAGCAGAGAGGCAAACAGAAUUCCUGGUGUAGCGGUGAAAUGCGUAGAUAUCAGGAAGAAUACCAGUGGCGAAGGCGGUUUGCUGGCUGCAUACUGACGCUGAAGCGCGAAAGCCAGGGGAGCGAACGGGAUUAGAUACCCCGGUAGUCCUGGCAGUAAACGAUGUAUGCUGGGUGUGAGACUAGCGAUAGUUUCGUGCCGAAGUUAACGCGAUAAGCAUACCGCCUGGGGAGUACGGUCGCAAGAUUGAAACUCAAAGGAAUUGACGGG
Molecule: ribosomal RNA, 393 nt
Filed under: uncultured bacterium
Lineage: Bacteria
Description: partial 16S ribosomal RNA
Rfam family: Bacterial small subunit ribosomal RNA
Source: RNAcentral